RNAcentral lists this ribosomal RNA (817 nucleotides) under Fibrodontia subaustrosinensis. Its description in RNAcentral is "Fibrodontia sp. SLL-2022a partial large subunit ribosomal RNA". It matches the Rfam family "Eukaryotic large subunit ribosomal RNA", at positions 79 to 915 of the family's 3401-position model. Lineage: Eukaryota; Fungi; Basidiomycota; Agaricomycetes; Trechisporales; Hydnodontaceae. The record is from RNAcentral.
CCUAGUAACUGCGAGUGAAGCGGGAAGAGCUCAAAUUUGAAAUCUGGCGGCUCCGUCGUCCGAGUUGUAACCUGGAGAAGCGUUUUCCGUGCCGGACCGUGUACAAGUCCCUUGGAACAGGGCGUCAUAGAGGGUGAGAAUCCCGUCUUUGACACGGACCCCCGGUGCUCUGUGAUGCGCUCUCGAAGAGUCGAGUUGUUUGGGAAUGCAGCUCAAAAUGGGUGGUAAAUUCCAUCUAAAGCUAAAUAUUGGCGAGAGACCGAUAGCGAACAAGUACCGUGAGGGAAAGAUGAAAAGCACUUUGGAAAGAGAGUAAAACAGUACGUGAAAUUGUUGAAAGGGAAACGCUUGAAGUCAGUCGCGUCUGUCGGGACUCAGCUCCGCUCCGCGGGGUGCACUUCCCGACCGACGGGUCAGCAUCGGUUUUCGGGGACGGACAAAGGCGGGAGGAAGGUGGCAGCUCCGGCUGUGUUAUAGCCUCCCGUUGUACGCGUCCUCGGGGACCGAGGAAUCCGGCGCUCGCGCCUGGGAUGCUGGCGUAAUGGCUUUAAGCGACCCGUCUUGAAACACGGACCAAGGAGUGCUACACGCUCGCGAGUGUUUGGGUGGAAAACCCGGACGCGCAAUGAAAGUGAAAGUCGAGACCCUUUGCGGGGGCACCGACGCCCGAGCCUGACGUUUUCUGAAGGCCUUGCGGUAGAGCGAGCGCGUUGCGACCCGAAAGAUGGUGAACUAUUCCUGAGGAGGGCGAAGCCAGAGGAAACUCUGGUGGAGGCUCGUAGCGGUUCUGACGUGCAAAUCGAUCGCAGGACUUGGG